Long non-coding RNA from Uranotaenia lowii, 239 nucleotides. RefSeq lists it as uncharacterized. NCBI's taxonomy places the organism in Eukaryota, Metazoa, Arthropoda, Insecta, Diptera, Culicidae. The record is from RefSeq and is a predicted model, not a curated record. The transcript is spliced from 3 exons.
CGGCAUCUUCCAACGUGCUUCGCUCGUGCCAGCAGUCAUCGAGCAGAGAAAAACGCUGCUAAAGCCGCAGCAAGCCGGUGAGAAAACGGCCAGCAGACAAAUUCUGCUCACGACGCUCGCGGCACAAGGAGAACGGAAAAAGCCACUUGAAAAGGGAACCAACCAGCAGACAAUUUCGGCUCGAAACGCUCGCGGCACUCGAAGGCGGAGCUAACCUGUACGGAAAACACGGAAAAGGC